This is a long non-coding RNA of Varroa destructor (honeybee mite), 649 nucleotides long. RefSeq lists it as uncharacterized. Lineage: Eukaryota; Metazoa; Arthropoda; Arachnida; Mesostigmata; Varroidae. The record is from RefSeq and is a predicted model, not a curated record.
GGGGUCACUACCGCAAGUGAAAUACAACUCGCUUUUAAUAGAGUUGUUCUGCAUUGCACCUUGUGUGACUGACGUUCGACGUACGUUUUCUAAACGAUGUGAAACGUCGACGUCAACGGCGUCGUAAUAUGUAAAAACUCGCAAACAUUCAAUUAGAAUAGCGGGUAUCACACAGAUUAGUGCAUGGGAUACCGCAAUAGAACGAGCUUUCCUAUUGUUCUCACGCUGGGACGUAUCCGUACAUGCGCUGCAACGUAGACCUUACCAGUUCCCCAGCCAUAUCUAGGAUUUAAGGGACACGUGCAAUGGCCCAGGUCUCAAAUCGUGCGUGGAUACACUUCGCUUUAUGCCGGAAGGGGCCAGCCACCUGAAGUUAUAUCCAACAACGAAGUCUGUUGUUACCAUCAUAAACGGGAAUAGCCGAACUAAGGCUCAAUGAGAAGAGCAGGCGUAAAUGUUUGAGGAUAUAAGCAUGCGCACGGUUACCCAAGUAAAUGAAUAAACGAACGCUCUCAACAUCAGUUGAGCGUGAGCUUCAGAAGAUCGACGGCAGCGGUAGCAGGAGACGCAAAACGAGGGAAAGCAGGCGAACGAAACAGAAAAACGGGAACGCAAUAGAAUUUAUUCCCAUAGGAAAGCGUAAACUGGA